UGCGUAGGUGGUCUUGUAAGUCAGAAGUGAAAGGCUACGGCUUCACCGUAGUAAGCUUUUGAAACUGCAGGACUUGAGUGCAGGAGAGGAAAGUGGAAUUCCUAGUGUAGCGGUGAAAUGCGUAGAUAUUAGGAGGAACACCAGUGGCGAAGGCGACUUUCUGGACUGUUACUGACACUGAGGCACGAAAGCGUGGGGAGCGAACA
This 206-nucleotide ribosomal RNA is filed under the name uncultured bacterium. RNAcentral describes it as "partial 16S ribosomal RNA". It matches the Rfam family "Bacterial small subunit ribosomal RNA", at positions 568 to 774 of the family's 1533-position model. The record is from RNAcentral.